AUUAGUGAGUUUGAGGCACGGCUCCGCACCAUGGAAUCAAAAUCGUAUGCUUCCGUAGCUAGCCGGCACAAUGUAGUUAAUACU
Long non-coding RNA from Sander lucioperca (pikeperch), 84 nucleotides. RefSeq lists it as uncharacterized. Lineage: Eukaryota; Metazoa; Chordata; Actinopteri; Perciformes; Percidae. The record is from RefSeq and is a predicted model, not a curated record. The transcript is spliced from 3 exons.